Molecule: ribosomal RNA, 497 nt
Filed under: uncultured bacterium
Lineage: Bacteria
Description: partial 16S ribosomal RNA
Rfam family: Bacterial small subunit ribosomal RNA
Source: RNAcentral
GACGAACGCUGGCGGCGUGCCUAAUACAUGCAAGUAGAACGCUGAAGAGAGGAGCUUGCUCUUCUUGGAUGAGUUGCGAACGGGUGAGUAACGCGUAGGUAACCUGCCUUGUAGCGGGGGAUAACUAUUGGAAACGAUAGCUAAUACCGCAUAACAAUGGAUGACACAUGUCAUUUAUUUGAAAGGGGCAAUUGUUCCACUACAAGAUGGACCUGCGUUGUAUUAGCUAGUAGGUGAGGUAAUGGCUCACCUAGGCGACGAUACAUAGCCGACCUGAGAGGGUGAUCGGCCACACUGGGACUGGGACACGGCCCAGACUCCUACGGGAGGCAGCAGUAGGGAAUCUUCGGCAAUGGGGGCAACCCUGACCGAGCAACGCCGCGUGAGUGAAGAAGGUUUUCGGAUCGUAAAGCUCUGUUGUAAGUCAAGAACGGGUGUGAGAGUGGAAAGUUCACACUGUGACGGUAGCUUACCAGAAAGGGACGGCUAACUACGUG